Molecule: ribosomal RNA, 490 nt
Filed under: uncultured bacterium
Lineage: Bacteria
Description: partial 16S ribosomal RNA
Rfam family: Bacterial small subunit ribosomal RNA
Source: RNAcentral
AUUGAACGCUGGCGGCAGGCCUAACACAUGCAAGUCGAACGGUAACAGGAAGAAGCUUGCUUCUUUGCUGACGAGUGGCGGACGGGUGAGUAAUGUCUGGGAAACUGCCUGAUGGAGGGGGAUAACUACUGGAAACGGUAGCUAAUACCGCAUAACGUCGCAAGACCAAAGAGGGGGACCUUCGGGCCUCUUGCCAUCGGAUGUGCCCAGAUGGGAUUAGCUAGUAGGUGGGGUAACGGCUCACCUAGGCGACGAUCCCUAGCUGGUCUGAGAGGAUGACCAGCCGCACUGGAACUGGGACACGGUCCAGACUCCUACGGGAGGCAGCAGUGGGGAAUAUUGCGCAAAGGGCGCAAGCCUGAUGCAGCCAUGCCGCGUGUAUGAAGAAGGCCUUCGGGUUGUAAAGUACUUUCAGCGGGGAGGAAGGGAGUAAAGUUAAUACCUUUGCUCAUUGACGUUACCCGCAGAAGAAGCACCGGCUAACUCCGUG